GAGCGGAGAGAGGUAGCUUGCUACUGAUCUUAGCGGCGGACGGGUGAGUAAUGCUUAGGAAUCUGCCUAUUAGUGGGGGACAACAUUUCGAAAGGAAUGCUAAUACCGCAUACGUCCUACGGGAGAAAGCAGGGGAUCUUCGGACCUUGCGCUAAUAGAUGAGCCUAAGUCGGAUUAGCUAGUUGGUGGGGUAAAGGCCUACCAAGGCGACGAUCUGUAGCGGGUCUGAGAGGAUGAUCCGCCACACUGGGACUGAGACACGGCCCAGACUCCUACGGGAGGCAGCAGUGGGGAAUAUUGGACAAUGGGCGCAAGCCUGAUCCAGCCAUGCCGCGUGUGUGAAGAAGGCCUUAUGGUUGUAAAGCACUUUAAGCGAGGAGGAGGCUACUUUAGUUAAUACCUAGAGAUAGUGGACGUUACUCGCAGAAUAAGCACCGGCUAACUCUGUGCCAGCAGCGGGCGGUAAU
RNAcentral lists this ribosomal RNA (467 nucleotides) under Acinetobacter calcoaceticus. RNAcentral describes it as "bacterial SSU rRNA". It matches the Rfam family "Bacterial small subunit ribosomal RNA", at positions 64 to 524 of the family's 1533-position model. The record is from RNAcentral. Lineage: Bacteria; Pseudomonadati; Pseudomonadota; Gammaproteobacteria; Moraxellales; Moraxellaceae.